UACGGAGGGUGCAAGCGUUGUCCGGAUUUAUUGGGUUUAAAGGGUGCGUAGGUGGCUCUAUAAGUCAGUGGUGAAAGCCUGCAGCUUAACUGUAGGACUGCCAUUGAUACUGUAGAGCUUGAGUACUGAUGAGGUAGGCGGAAUUGAUAGUGUAGCGGUGAAAUGCAUAGAUAUUAUCAAGAACACCGAUUGCGAAGGCAGCUUACUAAGGAGUUACUGACACUGAGGCACGAAAGCGUGGGGAUCAAACAGG
RNAcentral lists this ribosomal RNA (253 nucleotides) under uncultured bacterium. RNAcentral's name for it is "partial 16S ribosomal RNA". It matches the Rfam family "Bacterial small subunit ribosomal RNA", at positions 524 to 776 of the family's 1533-position model. The record is from RNAcentral.